AUGUUUGUGGGUGUCAUUGAUAGGCAAAUCAGUGAGCUGAAUGGCAGAUUUGAUGAGGUAAACACGGAGCUACUUUCUUGCUUGGCAGCAUUCCGUUCACUUAAUCUAUUUGGUGCUUAUGACCAAGAGAAGUUGGUUAGGCUUGCUACAAAGUUUUAUCCUUCUGAUUUUACAAGUGAUGAACUGGCAAGACUUCCAUGGCAACUAAACAUGUAUGUUGCUAAUGUGCGUAGAGAUGAAAGGUUUCAAAACAUGAAAAAUCUGUGUCAGCUUUCAGUUAUUGGUUCUGCCAAUAUCAUAUUGUUUACAAGCUUCUUAAGUUGGUAUUGGUUCUGCCAGUAG
RNAcentral lists this ribosomal RNA (342 nucleotides) under Triticum aestivum (bread wheat). RNAcentral describes it as "partial small subunit ribosomal RNA". Lineage: Eukaryota; Viridiplantae; Streptophyta; Magnoliopsida; Poales; Poaceae. The record is from RNAcentral.